RNAcentral lists this ribosomal RNA (485 nucleotides) under Prosoeca ganglbaueri. RNAcentral describes it as "partial large subunit ribosomal RNA". It matches the Rfam family "Bacterial large subunit ribosomal RNA", at positions 1808 to 2566 of the family's 2925-position model. Lineage: Eukaryota; Metazoa; Arthropoda; Insecta; Diptera; Nemestrinidae. The record is from RNAcentral.
CAAAAACAUGUCCUUUAGGAUUGAAUUUAAGGUCUAGCCUGCCCACUGAGUUAUUAAAUGGCCGCAGUAUUUUAACUGUGCAAAGGUAGCAUAAUCAUUAGUCUUUUAAUUGAAGGCUUGUAUGAAUGGUUGGACAAAAUAUAUAUUGUUUCAUUUAAAUUAAUAGAAUUUUAUUUUUUAGUUAAAAAGCUGAAAUUUAAUUAAAAGACGAGAAGACCCUAUAGAUCUUUAUAGUUGUUGAGUUUAAUUUAUGAAGAAUGGUUUAUUUUUAAUUUAUUCAACUAUUUUAUUGGGGUGAUAGUAAGAUUUAUUUAACUCUUGUAUAAUUUAAUACAUAAAUUAAUGAUUAGUUGAUCCAGUAUUAUUGAUUAGUAAAAUAAGUUACCUUAGGGAUAACAGCGUAAUUUUUUUAGAGAGUUCAUAUCGAUAAAAAAGAUUGCGACCUCGAUGUUGGAUUAAGAGAUAAGUUUGGGCGCAGCCGUCAA